GGUGAAAUCCCAGGGCUCAACCCUGGAACUGCCUCCAAAACUAUCAGUCUAGAGUUCGAGAGAGGUGAGUGGAAUUCCAAGUGUAGAGGUGAAAUUCGUAGAUAUUUGGAGGAACACCAGUGGCGAAGGCGGCUCACUGGCUCGAUACUGACGCUGAGGUACGAAAGUGUGGGGAGCAAACAGGAUUAGAUACCCUGGUAGUCCACACCGUAAACGAUGAAUGCCAGUCGUCGGGCAGUAUACUGUUCGGUGACACACCUAACGGAUUAAGCAUUCCGCCUGGGGAGUACGGCCGCAAGAUUAAAACUCAAAUGAAUUGACGG
RNAcentral lists this ribosomal RNA (323 nucleotides) under uncultured bacterium. RNAcentral describes it as "bacterial SSU rRNA". It matches the Rfam family "Bacterial small subunit ribosomal RNA", at positions 593 to 916 of the family's 1533-position model. The record is from RNAcentral.